This 450-nucleotide ribosomal RNA is filed under the name uncultured bacterium. Its description in RNAcentral is "bacterial SSU rRNA". It matches the Rfam family "Bacterial small subunit ribosomal RNA", at positions 354 to 796 of the family's 1533-position model. The record is from RNAcentral.
GUGGGGAAUAUUGGACAAUGGGCGAAAGCCUGAUCCAGCCAUGCCGCGUGUGUGAAGAAGGUCUUCGGAUUGUAAAGCACUUUAAGUUGGGAGGAAGGGCAGUAAGUUAAUACCUUGCUGUUUUGACGUUACCGACAGAAUAAGCACCGGCUAACUUCGUGCCAGCAGCCGCGGUAAUACGAAGGGUGCAAGCGUUAAUCGGAAUUACUGGGCGUAAAGCGCGCGUAGGUGGUUUUGUAAGUUGGAGGUGAAAUCCCCGGGCUCAACCUGGGAACUGCCUCCAAAACUGCAUGACUAGAGUACGGUGGAGGGUAGUGGAAUUUCCUGUGUAGCGGUGAAAUGCGUAGAUAUAGGAAGGAACACCAGUGGCGAAGGCGACUACCUGGACUGAUACUGACACUGAGGUGCGAAAGCGUGGGGAGCAAACAGGAUUAGAUACCCGUGUAGUCC